Molecule: non-coding RNA, 100 nt
Organism: Sturnus vulgaris (Common starling)
Lineage: Eukaryota; Metazoa; Chordata; Aves; Passeriformes; Sturnidae
Source: RefSeq, a predicted model, not a curated record
UUUUCUUCUUUAAAAAUUCAAGCAAGUUAAUAGUUAUUAUAAAGUUAUUUAUUGCAGAAGCACAUCAGUCUCAAAGGCAAAAACAAAUCAAAGCAAUGGC